RNAcentral lists this long non-coding RNA (352 nucleotides) under Brassica napus (rape). Its description in RNAcentral is "long non-coding RNA (BNAP_LNC020954)". Lineage: Eukaryota; Viridiplantae; Streptophyta; Magnoliopsida; Brassicales; Brassicaceae. The record is from RNAcentral.
AAACAACAACAUUAUUUUGAGGGACAAUAACAGCAAUGACAACAGAAAACAUUACUACUUAAAGUUAUUAGCAUGAGUCAACAUCCCCCUACAUACAUAAUUCCUUUAGCAGUCUGAUAUCUUCACGCAUUUCCUUCAACUCAUCUUCCAUCUUCAUUCGGCUGUUUGACUCCUCAGCAACUUCAUUCUUUAACUCUAGCAGCUCUUCUUCAAUAGCAUCAAAACAGCGAUGCCGACUGUGUAACUCAUCAUCCUGAAGGAUAUAAGAUAGUGAUCCUCAUGUCAAAACUCGAAUUUCUCACCUUGAUACAAAAUUCCUUAAGAAGUUACGAUUAUAAACUUCAUUUCUCAC